Molecule: long non-coding RNA, 471 nt
Organism: Oenanthe melanoleuca
Lineage: Eukaryota; Metazoa; Chordata; Aves; Passeriformes; Muscicapidae
Exons: 3
Source: RefSeq, a predicted model, not a curated record
UUGAGAGCUGCUGCUGAAGAGACAUUCCUUUAUUUUCUGAUGAUCCUCCAAAGCCGCCUGUGCUGUGCCCUGAUGUGCCAGCAGCAGGGAUUGGUGGUCCAUCAGGACAGCAGUGCCUGGCUAUAAACCUCUCAUGGAUUGUGAGGUAAGGAGAAGCUUUGUUUCCCAGGAAGAAGCUCCACCAGCUAUGCAGCCACUUGAUCCUUGUGACCUUGUGUGUCACCAUCUGCCAUGGGCUCACAGGCCUGCUCAGCCACAGGAGGGAUCCAGGUGUUGAUGCCAUCUCUAAACCCUCAGCCAUGGGGAGCCAAGCUUCUCCUCCAGCCCCAGGCUCUGCACACUGAGAUGACCCAGCAGUGACAAGUCAGACUCAGUGCACAAACAGGGUCUAGAACAAAUGGCUGGCUGUCCAUGAACUGCUUGGAGGAACAGGCAGCAGCAGGAUAAGGUUAUUACAUGGGUUGGCUGUGC